GCGUUGUCCGGAUUUACUGGGCGUAAAGAGCGCGCAGGCGGUCGUUCAAGUCGCGUGUGAAAGCCCCCGGCUCAACUGGGGAGGGUCACGCGAUACUGAUCGACUCGAAGGCAGGAGAGGGUAGUGGAAUUCCCGGUGUAGUGGUGAAAUGCGUAGAUAUCGGGAGGAACACCAGUGGCGAAGGCGACUACCUGGCCUGUUCUUGACGCUGAGGCGCGAAAGCUAG
Molecule: ribosomal RNA, 226 nt
Filed under: uncultured bacterium
Lineage: Bacteria
Description: partial 16S ribosomal RNA
Rfam family: Bacterial small subunit ribosomal RNA
Source: RNAcentral